RNAcentral lists this ribosomal RNA (411 nucleotides) under uncultured microorganism. RNAcentral describes it as "bacterial SSU rRNA". It matches the Rfam family "Bacterial small subunit ribosomal RNA", at positions 9 to 416 of the family's 1533-position model. The record is from RNAcentral.
GAGUUUGAUCGUGGCUCAGAUUGAACGCUGGCGGCAUGCCUUACACAUGCAAGUCGAACGGCAGCAUGAUCUAGCUUGCUAGAUUGAUGGCGAGUGGCGAACGGGUGAGUAAUACAUCGGAACGUGCCCUGUAGUGGGGGAUAACUAGUCGAAAGAUUAGCUAAUACCGCAUACGACCUGAGGGUGAAAGUGGGGGACCGCAAGGCCUCAUGCUAUAGGAGCGGCCGAUGUCUGAUUAGCUAGUUGGUGGGGUAAAGGCCCACAAAGGCGACGAUCAGUAGCUGGUCUGAGAGGACGAUCAGCCACACUGGGACUGAGACACGGCCCAGACUCCUACGGGAGGCAGCAGUGGGGAAUUUUGGACAAUGGGCGAAAGCCUGAUCCAGCAAUGCCGCGUGUGUGAAGAAGGCC